ACCUAUUGCAGGAAGAUAGCCCGAGGAAACUCGGAUUAAUAUUCCAUAAUAUCAUUUUUACACAUGUAUUAAUGAUUAAAGCUACGGCGGCAAUAGAUGGGCAUGCGUACCAUUAGCUAGUUGGUGAGGUAACGGCUCACCAAGGUUACGAUGGUUAGGGGGUCUUAAAGGAUGAUCCCCCACACUGGUACUGAGACACGGACCAGACUCCUACGGGAGGCAGCAGUGAGGAAUAUUGGGCAAUGGACGCAAGUCUGACCCAGCCAUGCCGCGUGCAGGAUGACUGCUCUAGUAGUUGUAAACUGCUUUUCUAUUUCAUGAACCCCUCUGACGUGUCAGGGGCUGACAGUAGAAUAGGAAUAAGCAUCGGCUAACUCCGUGCCAGCAGCCGCGGUAAUACGGAGGAUGCAAGCGUUAUCCGGAUUUACUAGGUUUAAAGGGUGCGUAGGCGGGGUAUCAAGUCAGUGGUGAAAUCCUGCAGCUCAACUGUAGAACUGCCAUUGAAACUGAUAUUCUUGAGUAUAUUUGAGGUAGGCGGAAUGUUGUUAAGUAGCGGUGAAAUGCAAUAGAGAUAACCACCAGAACACCGAUUGCGAAGGCAGUUUACUAAACUAUUACUGACGCUGAGGUACGAAAGCGUGGGGAGCGAACAGGAUUAGAUACCCUGGUUAGUCCACGCCGUAAACGUUGAUCACUAGUUGUUUGCGAUACAUUGUGAGCGACUGAACAAAAGCAUUAAGUGAUCCACCCUGGGGAGUACGUUGGCAACGAUGAAACUCAAAGGAAUUGACGGGGGCCCGCACAAGCGGAGGAACAUGUGGUUUAAUUCGAUGAUACGCGAGGAACCUUACCUGGGCUUAAAUGUAAGACGACUAACAGGGAAACUUGUUAUCUUUCGAGCGUCCUACAAGGUGCUGCAUGGUUGUCGUCAGCUCGUGCCGUGAGGUGUCGGGUUAAGUCCCAUAACGAGCGCAACCCUUAUCGUUAGUUGCCAGCGGGUAAUGCCGGGGACUCUAGCGAAACUGCCAUCGUAAGAUGUGAGGAAGGUGGGGAUGACGUCAAAUCAGCACGGCCCUUAUGUCCAGGGCUACACACGUGUUACAAUGGUCGAAACAAAGGGCAGCUAC
RNAcentral lists this ribosomal RNA (1127 nucleotides) under uncultured organism. Its description in RNAcentral is "bacterial SSU rRNA". It matches the Rfam family "Bacterial small subunit ribosomal RNA", at positions 128 to 1253 of the family's 1533-position model. The record is from RNAcentral.